GGGUAUAUAGCUCAAGUGGUAGAGCACAUGCUUAGCGUGCACAACGUCCUGGGUUCAAUCCCCAGUACCCCCU
Molecule: transfer RNA, 73 nt
Filed under: Camelus bactrianus (Bactrian camel)
Lineage: Eukaryota; Metazoa; Chordata; Mammalia; Artiodactyla; Camelidae
Also listed under: 3 other names
Rfam family: tRNA
About the family: Transfer RNA (tRNA) molecules are approximately 80 nucleotides in length. Their secondary structure includes four short double-helical elements and three loops (D, anti-codon, and T loops).
Source: Rfam by way of RNAcentral